UACAGAGGUCUCAAGCGUUGUUCGGAUUCAUUGGGCGUAAAGGGUGCGUAGGUGGCGCUGUAAGUCGGGUGUGAAAUUUCGGAGCUUAACUCCGAAACUGCAUUCGAUACUGCGGUGCUUGAGGACUGGAGAGGAGACUGGAAUUCAUGGUGUAGCAGUGAAAUGCGUAGAGAUCAUGAGGAAGACCAGUGGCGAAGGCGGGUCUCUGGACAGUUCCUGACACUGAGGCACGAAGUCCAGGGGAGCAAACGGG
RNAcentral lists this ribosomal RNA (253 nucleotides) under uncultured bacterium. RNAcentral describes it as "partial 16S ribosomal RNA". It matches the Rfam family "Bacterial small subunit ribosomal RNA", at positions 524 to 776 of the family's 1533-position model. The record is from RNAcentral.